GCACAAGCGGAGGAACAUUGUGGUUUAAUUCGAUGAUACGCGAGGAACCUUACCUGGGCUUAAAUGGGGAGUGACAGCUGUCGAAAGAUGGUUUUCUUCGGACACUCUUCAAGGUGCUGCAUGGUUGUCGUCAGCUCGUGCCGUGAGGUGUCGGGUUAAGUCCCAUAACGAGCGCAACCCUUACCGUUAGUUACCAUCAGGUUAAGCUGGGGACUCUAGCGGGACUGCCACCGUAAGGUGAGAGGAAGUGGGGAUGACGUCAAAUCAGCACGGCCCUUAUGUCCAGGGCUACACACGUGUUACAAUGGCCAGUACAAAGGGCAGCUACCGGGUGACCGGAUGCUAAUCUCUAAAGCUGGUCUCAGUUCGGAUCGAAGUCUGCAACCCGACUUCGUGAAGCUGGAUUCGCUAGUAAUCGCGCAUCAGCCAUGGCGCGGUGAAUACGUUCCCGGGCCUU
This 457-nucleotide ribosomal RNA is filed under the name uncultured Sphingobacteriales bacterium. RNAcentral describes it as "bacterial SSU rRNA". It matches the Rfam family "Bacterial small subunit ribosomal RNA", at positions 923 to 1382 of the family's 1533-position model. The record is from RNAcentral. Lineage: Bacteria; Pseudomonadati; Bacteroidota; Sphingobacteriia; Sphingobacteriales.